Molecule: transfer RNA, 82 nt
Filed under: Daphnia pulicaria
Lineage: Eukaryota; Metazoa; Arthropoda; Branchiopoda; Diplostraca; Daphniidae
Description: tRNA-Ser
Rfam family: tRNA
About the family: Transfer RNA (tRNA) molecules are approximately 80 nucleotides in length. Their secondary structure includes four short double-helical elements and three loops (D, anti-codon, and T loops).
Source: RNAcentral
GCAGAUAUGGCCGAGUGGUUAAGGCGACUGACUCGAAAUCAGUUUCCAUCUUGGAGCAUAGGUUCGAAUCCUACUAUCUGCG